RNAcentral lists this long non-coding RNA (221 nucleotides) under Sorghum bicolor (sorghum). RNAcentral describes it as "long non-coding RNA (SBIC_LNC015402)". Lineage: Eukaryota; Viridiplantae; Streptophyta; Magnoliopsida; Poales; Poaceae. The record is from RNAcentral.
UUCCUUUUUUUUCAGCAAUUAUACAAGGAUAGGGAAACAAAUCAAUUUUGAUUUGUUGUCAGAGACCAGGUUCAGCUAUAGUGGGCUCCCUUCCCCAGUGGAGCGAGAGAUAGAGUGACAAUGUUUAUGGCAUGGCUUGACCAUCCAUAGUCAAUGUCUCCCAUGCAGCCUACGCGGAUAGAUCUGGCCCUUCAGAGCCUGGAUCAAGCAUCUCUUUGGCC